UGUGGUCAGUCUCCAGAGGGCCAUGACAACUCUGUCAUGCAGAGGGACAGCAGCUCGCAUACUCACACAUUUCUGUUGUUAGGCCAUUCACCAGCCAGACACACAGAAUGUCAGAAAUGUGCUUGGUCAUUUGCAGCUGUCUUAUCUGCUAACUGAUGGUUCAGGCACUUAGACCAUCAGCCUGCCAACAGGCUGAGCUCAGCCUAGCCCACAGUGUCCUCCUCAAUCUUCAGUUUGGUAAUGUAAGUGGACAACAAAUUCUGCAUGCACCUUUGCCUCCUCUUCAGACACCUAUUCAGAGCAUCCUGGGUGCUGUUAUCUCUUCUAUGCUGGUGUGCUUCCACAGCACUGGGUGACAAGUAGCAUAAUCCUGAAGAUGGAAGAUGAAGCAAUCUGCAGUGACAAAAAAGUCUCCAUGAUGGAAAAAGCCAGCAUGACCUGUGAGGAGGGGGAUUACAGGUUUUACGUAAGAAAUCCCAUAAAUCCUAAGGGAAAAAACCAAAAAUAUCCACAGCUUUGGUGUGUGCAACUGUUGCUGGGGCUCCAGGGAAUAGCAACAUUUCCCAGAAUGCUUCCCUAAGUUGCUUCCCUGGUUGGGCACUUUUAGCUGUGAACAUGAAAACACAGUUCUGAGGGCAGAAAAGCUGCGGCAUUGUCAACCUGAACCAUGUCACAUGACUGCGCCCUUAACUUAUUACAAAACAAAGAUUCCAGCUGCACUGUGGAUGGAGCCAACGCUGCUGCAUGUUGUGAAUAUGCUAUCAGGCAGAGUCGUUUACACUUCUUAUUGGAUGGAGUUGUGAAGAAAUCUAUUUGUGGAUUGCUCCAGGACAAUGUUGUACUUAUUAUAGAAGCAGCUGCUUGAAAACCAGGAGAGGAGACUGCCAAGAUUUCUGAACCUCCAUUUUUAAUACUUCUGUCUUUGUUUUCUUGAGAAUUUAUAAAGAACAUCUGGUGGGACUAAAUGAUCAUGUUCAGCACAAUCAUCAUUACUAACCAUGAAGUCUCAGAAAACCGAGGCAGAUCACAGACUCUGCAUGAACUGCCUCUGCAGCAUCAUUCUCCCCCAGGUGCCAUGGAAUCCCUGUUGAACCGAGUGAUAUGGUUGAGAUACACAUUCUCUCAUUCCCCUUUCAAACCCACAAGGAUUCCCUGCUUAUGUUAAAAAAAAAAUGGCAGACAUAUUCUUCCCUCUUAUGAAGAACCCACCCGGGCUGGGUUUUUUGAUGCAACAUGCACCAGGGGAGGCCCUGGCAACAUGGGCCAUUGAGAUCUCUCAUUGCUGCAGAGGCAUGUAAGGGGACCCUGCAUGCUCUGUAGUGGCAUAGAUCUUCCAUGCAAAUGGAGAAUACCUCCAGAGGAAAACCUGGGAUUCACAGUUUAUUCCAUAAGAAAAUCACUUGCAAAGUCUCCAAAGUCUCUACUGAAAAGGAAUACCACCAGCACAGACCACUAUUACACAAGCAACCAACACAGAUAACUAGUAUGGUCUUUGCAUCUAUCAGUCAUCAUCCUCAGAAGGCCCUCCAGGCCACAAAGAAUGCGAGAUGUAUCAUGACAUUCACUAGGUCAUGGACAGGCAACCUAUGGUAUGCGUGCUGAAGGCGGCACAUGAGCUGAUUUACAGUGGCAUUCACACGGCCUGGGCCCUGGCCACUGGUCUGAGGGCUCUGCAUUUUAAUUUAAUUUUAAAUGAAGAUUCUUAAACAUUUUAAAAACCUUAUUUACUUUACAUACAACAAUAGUUUAGUUAUAUAUUAUAGAUUUAUAGAAAAAGACCUUCUAAAAUGUUAAAAUGUAUUACGUGAAACCUUAAAUUAGAGUGAAUAAAUGGAGACUUGGCAAACCGCUUCUGAAAAGUUGCCGACCUCUGCACUAGGUGCUCCUUUCCCUAUAUGUAUCCAAGCCAUCAUGUGCUCUCACAACCAAAAUCUAGAUCCACUAUAUUGGAGAGGAAAGACUGUCUUGUGAAAUCAGGACGACUGGGCUCCAAGUCCCAGCUCUGUUACAGGCUUCCUCUGUGAUUCUGGAAAAUUAUUUAAUUUCUGUGUGACUCAAUUUGCCCAUCCAUAAAAUGAUUAGUAAAUCAAGGCAUCUCACAGGGCUUAAUUCAAUAACUUCAGUAAAGUGCUUCAAUUACUUGGAAUGGAAGACACUAUAUAUGGUUAAAUGACUAUUAUUCUACACCAAGCCACUUGCUUCUUACAGUUUGUAUAUUUGCAUAUCAGGUAUGUAACACUUUAGUAAAUCUCUGUUAAGAGAGUCCAUCUUUCUGUAAACUGUUAAACAUACGGUUAAACUUCUUGCAUUGUUUCCUACAAUUAUGACCUUUUCUACUUGCCACUGUCAUUAAGAGUUGUGACAAACAACUAAAAAGAUACCCUGUGGCAAGUCAGAAAAAUGCAAUAUCUACAAUACUGCACUUUCGAACCAAAUCAUGUACUGGCUGGGAAGGGCACAAGAGGCAGGGGUAAUUUUCUAAGUGACAAUAUACAGAAGAUAUCAGCUAGUCAGCAAAAAGAGACCUAGAAAUGUUAUCCUUAUUCAGCCUGCCCUUCCUGCCAACUCACUCAGUGAUGACACAAUCUACUGUGAGAGACACCAUAAAUUACUUACUUCAUGGUGGUGAACUGUAAUCUGUUAAACAAUGAGUUGUGGCAUCCCUGAAUGAAUCAAGAAGGAAAGCGACUGAUUACGAAGAAAAAACUUCCAUUUAGACACAACUAUCUUGGUAAUCAGCAAUGAUGAGAAUAACCAAAGAAAAACUACAUGACAGUUCGAUGGAGAUUUUGUAAAAUGCAAUGCAUUUGGAAGUUCGCUCGAGAAUAGCUAAAGCGCUUAAGAGGCAUACACUCAUGAACAUGAGAAACAUUAUUUGGUUGUAUAUAGCUUUGAUGGUCCUAGAAAGAUCAGGUUUGAUAAACUCAGUGUGUGUUGUUUGGCACAGAACAGAAAUUCUUUUUAAAAAAAUAACUCUUAUGAGAGAUCUGACCAAAUUAAGGCAGGCUUUUAAUCGGUCAUGUGCUCUUAAUGGACAACAUAUCCUUUCAUUACUGUCAUUUAAUGCAUUUACAAAUGCUUUUUGUCCCUCUCUCUCAGUCAGUAUUCACCAGUCAAGACUGCAAUGCUUUAUCAGGUAACUCAGCACUUAGGAGUUCUAUAAAGAUGUGAACAGUAGGAUGUAAAAACAACUACUGGAAAAUUUGAAAUAGAAGAUGGGGUGGGGAGGAGAUCUACUGUGAGCCAAUUUCCACUCACAAAUUGAAAGGCAGUGUGAUCCUCAUUCUGAAGGAGUCAUUGAUUAAAUGUCUCAGUGCCACACUACUAGUGAAUUUACCUGUUCCACAGACUGUAUGAAUUUUUUCUUCUGUGAAUUUUCUGUUUGUGAAAAAUAUUACUCUAGAAGAUUUUAUGUCAAUGCAUUUCAACAUUAUUUUGUUCAAAUUUCACUACACAACUAAAAGGGAUCUUAUUACCCACAUCACAGCUCCUAAUGAAAGGCCUAGCAUGUCAAAAACACAGCCCAACAUGGCCAUUUUCUUUUGUUGGAUUUGUUCAAUUAUACAUAUGAUGAUUUAAAAAAUUGUCGAUGAAUCUGGGUGCUAAUAAAACUACAUUAUGUGACUUUAAAACACCAGUGUCCACUUACAGGACUUGAAGAGUGUAUUUAUGCUGUAGAUACUCUUUAGUGUGUCCUCUUGACUACUAUACUUCUAAUUCCUGCUCUGUUCAUUUCAAUGCAUUAUUGUUUCAGAAUACAAUGCUCCAAAUUGCAAAUUACAUCUGGCUCAAGGGCUGAUCAUGAGAAACACUUGCACUGCUGCCUCUGCCUGAAUAACUCUGAUAAUAAUGAGAGAUUGAUUGAGCUCCAAGCAACCUACAUGAUGAGAAGGGUCAAUCUGAAUAUUUCUAUUAGCUUCUUUUGUUAAACCUAACACUUUGCCAGGUCAGAGGCAAAUAAUCAUACCACAUCUGGUUAGCAUGAUUUUAUCUUUCCUAAAGAAGCAGUACAAUUUAGAAAAUUGGUACUGGUCCAAAGGCAUACCCCAUAAGAAAUGGUAAUGAGAUAUGCAUCAUAAAACCCCAUCCAUUCAU
Molecule: long non-coding RNA, 4095 nt
Organism: Gopherus flavomarginatus (Mexican gopher tortoise)
Lineage: Eukaryota; Metazoa; Chordata; Testudines; Testudinidae
Exons: 4
Source: RefSeq, a predicted model, not a curated record